GAUGAACGCUGGCGGCGUGCCUAAUACAUGCAAGUCGAGCGAACAGACGAGGAGCUUGCUCCUCUGACGUUAGCGGCGGACGGGUGAGUAACACGUGGAUAACCUACCUAUAAGACUGGGAAAACUUCGGGAAACCGGAGCUAAUACCGGAUAAUAUAUUGAACCGCAUGGUUCAAUAGUGAAAGACGGUUUUGCUGUCUCUUAUAGAUGGAUCCGCGCCGCAUUAGCUAGUUGGUAAGGUAACGGCCUACGAAGGCGACGAUGCGUAGCCGACCUGAGAGGAUGGUUGGCCGCACUGAGACUGAGACACGGUCCAGACUCAUACGGGAGGCGGCAGUAGGCAAUCUUGCGCAAGGGGCGGAGGCCUGUCGGAGCAGGGCCGCGGGAUUGAGGAGGAUCUUCGGGUCGUAAAACUCUGUUAUUGGGGAAGAACACAUGUGUAAGUAACUAUGCGCGUCUUGACGGUACCUAAUCAGAAAGCCACGGCUAACUACGUG
This 497-nucleotide ribosomal RNA is filed under the name uncultured bacterium. RNAcentral describes it as "partial 16S ribosomal RNA". It matches the Rfam family "Bacterial small subunit ribosomal RNA", at positions 28 to 507 of the family's 1533-position model. The record is from RNAcentral.